This 734-nucleotide ribosomal RNA is filed under the name uncultured marine haptophyte. RNAcentral's name for it is "bacterial SSU rRNA". It matches the Rfam family "Bacterial small subunit ribosomal RNA", at positions 535 to 1277 of the family's 1533-position model. The record is from RNAcentral. Lineage: Eukaryota; Haptophyta.
CAAGCGUUAUCCGGAAUCAUUGGGCGUAAAGCGCCUGUAGGUUGUUUAAUAAGUCCGUUGUUAAAGACUAGGGCUUAACCCUAGGAAAGCGAUGGAAACUGAUAGACUUGAGUAUGGCAGGGGUAGAGGGAAUUUCUAGUGUAGCGGUGAAAUGCGUAGAUAUUAGAAAGAACACCGGUGGCGAAAGCGCUCUACUGGACCAUUACUGACACUGAGAGGCGAAAGCUAGGGGAGCGAAAGGGAUUAGAUACCCCUGUAGUCCUAGCCGUAAACGAUGGAUACUAGAUGUUGUGCAAUUUGGACAGUAUCGUAGCUAACGCGUUAAGUAUCCCGCCUGGGGAGUACGCUCGCAAGGGUGAAACUCAAAGGAAUUGACGGGGGCCCGCACAAGCGGUGGAGCAUGUGGUUUAAUUCGAUGCAACGCGAAGAACCUUACCAGGGCUUGACAUACUACAGAUCUUUUUGAGAAAGAAGAGUGCCUUCGGGAAUGUAGAUACAGGUGGUGCAUGGCUGUCGUCAGCUCGUGUCGUGAGAUGUUGGGUUAAGUCCCGCAACGAGCGCAACCCUCGUUUUUAGUUGCCAAUUUAUUGGGAUCUCUAGAAAGACUGCCGGUGACAAACCGGAGGAAGGUGAGGAUGACGUCAAGUCAGCAUGCCCCUUAUGUCCUGGGCCACACACGUGCUACAAUGGUAAAGACAAAGAGUCGCCAAUUCGCGAGAAUGAGCUAAUCUCAU